Molecule: ribosomal RNA, 434 nt
Filed under: uncultured fungus
Lineage: Eukaryota; Fungi
Description: eukaryotic LSU rRNA
Rfam family: Eukaryotic large subunit ribosomal RNA
Source: RNAcentral
GAUCUCAAAUCAAGUAAGACUACCCGCUGAACUUAAGCAUAUCAAUAAGCGGAGGAAAAGAAACUAACAAGGAUUCCCCUAGUAACGGCGAGUGAAGCGGGAUGAGCUCAAAUUUAAAUCUGGCUGGUUUACUAGUCCGAAUUGUAGUUUAAAGAAGCGUUUUCGGUGGCAGCCUGGGUAUAAAUCCUUUGGAACAGGGUAUCAUAGAGGGUGAGAAUCCCGUCUUUGACUCAGUGCAUGCUACUAUGUGAUACGUUUUCAAAGAGUCGAGUUGUUUGGGAAUGCAGCCCAAAAUGGGUGGUAAAUUUCAUCUAAAGCUAAAUAUUGGCGAGAGACCGAUAGCGAACAAGUACCGUGAGGGAAAGAUGAAAAGAACUUUGAAAAGAGAGUUAAACAGUGCGUGAAAUUGUUGAAAGGGAAACGCUUGACACCAG